AUGUUACUAUGGAUUUCAUUUCUGGUCUGCCAGUCUCAGGUCAAUUUGAUUGCAUAUUCUUGGUUAUUGACAAGUUCAGUUGCUGAAGUGUUCCUAUAUAAUGUGUACAAGUUGCAUGGGAUGCCAGAGUAUAUAGUGUCAGACAGAGACCCUAUUUUCACUAGUGCAUUUUGGCAAACCUUGGUCAAAAGAACUGGCACCCAGCUUAAUAUGAGUACUGCUUACCAUCCAGCUACUGAUGGGCAGACUGAGAGAGUGAAUCAACAAGUUGAGUGUUAUCUCAGGAGUUUUAUCAGUGCACAUCCUAAAUAA
RNAcentral lists this ribosomal RNA (312 nucleotides) under Triticum aestivum (bread wheat). RNAcentral describes it as "partial small subunit ribosomal RNA". Lineage: Eukaryota; Viridiplantae; Streptophyta; Magnoliopsida; Poales; Poaceae. The record is from RNAcentral.